Molecule: long non-coding RNA, 426 nt
Organism: Zonotrichia leucophrys gambelii
Lineage: Eukaryota; Metazoa; Chordata; Aves; Passeriformes; Passerellidae
Exons: 3
Source: RefSeq, a predicted model, not a curated record
CAGUGCCUUAUUUGAGGUCUGUGCAGUCUCAUUAAAUUUGAUGUGUCACAGAGGGCUUGGACAUGUGAAAAAGGAGGCUGCAGGAACCAGGAUUGAAGUUUGCCAGAUUUGCUAAGGAAAAAUGAUUCAUUAUGGCUUUGCAAAAUGGACACCCUUCAGGCUCGCUGAUGGUAGACUCUCAAGACAUCACCUCCAGCUCAGAAUAUUCCGUGAUCCAGGAAUAAAAGUGGCUCAAUCCUGCAGGAAACAUCUCAGGCAUCUCCCCUGUGCUUUUCUGGUGACCCAGGAUUGAGGAGUGCUCAUUGUGACCCCCUUGCCCUGCAAGAGCCCCCAGCCCCCAAAGGGCAGGAUCUGUGCCCAGUUUGUGCUUUAUGGGCAGAGGAAUUCCCUGUGUUCUCACAGAAAAAUAUUUCCCUACCAGCAGCG